AGUGAACGCUGGCGGUAGGCCUAACACAUGCAAGUCGAACGGCAGCACAGUAAGAGCUUGCUCUUACGGGUGGCGAGUGGCGGACGGGUGAGGAAUACAUCGGAAUCUACCUUUUCGUGGGGGAUAACGUAGGGAAACUUACGCUAAUACCGCAUACGACCUACGGGUGAAAGCAGGGGAUCUUCGGACCUUGCGCGAUUGAAUGAGCCGAUGUCGGAUUAGCUAGUUGGCGGGGUAAAGGCCCACCAAGGCGACGAUCCGUAGCUGGUCUGAGAGGAUGAUCAGCCACACUGGAACUGAGACACGGUCCAGACUCCUACGGGAGGCAGCAGUGGGGAAUAUUGGACAAAGGGCGCAAGCCUGAUCCAGCCACACCGCGUGGGUGAAGAAGGCCUUCGGGUUGUAAAGCCCUUUUGUUGGGAAAGAAAAGCAGCAGGUUAAUACCCCGCUGUUCUGACGGUACCCAAAGAAUAAGCACCGGCUAACUUCGUG
Molecule: ribosomal RNA, 492 nt
Filed under: uncultured bacterium
Lineage: Bacteria
Description: partial 16S ribosomal RNA
Rfam family: Bacterial small subunit ribosomal RNA
Source: RNAcentral